UCCCCACAUUGGCAGCAGAUAAUACUAAACUUGAAAUGAUACAGUGAAGAUUAGCAUGGACCCUGCACAAGGACAACAUGCAAAAUUCAUGAAGCAUUCCAUGUUUUU
This is a small nuclear RNA of Sciurus carolinensis (gray squirrel), 108 nucleotides long. The record is from RefSeq and is a predicted model, not a curated record. NCBI's taxonomy places the organism in Eukaryota, Metazoa, Chordata, Mammalia, Rodentia, Sciuridae.